GCAUUUAUUAGACUUAACAUAGAAUGCAUACUUGGACCAAGGGCAUUAUUUCCUUCAGUGUACAACCUCCGCAAGCCGCCGCUGUCCCCGCCGUGCUCUGUCCGCCGGCCAACACUCCUUGUUCUCUCUUUUGGCGGAGAAUUCUUUGUGGGCGACUUUUGAAUUCGUUAAAGUGGCCUAUCAGUUUGUUUACACAAGUCUCUAAGGAUCAAUAAGCAUUGUCCAUCUGCAGGUUUGAAGAUGAUGCAUCAUUGGGAUCGGGAU
Molecule: long non-coding RNA, 264 nt
Organism: Spinacia oleracea (spinach)
Lineage: Eukaryota; Viridiplantae; Streptophyta; Magnoliopsida; Caryophyllales; Amaranthaceae
Exons: 3
Source: RefSeq, a predicted model, not a curated record